UAGGGAAUCUUCCACAAUGGACGAAAGUCUGAUGGAGCAACGCCGCGUGAGUGAAGAAGGGUUUCGGCUCGUAAAAACUCUGUUGUUAAAGAAGAACAUAUCUGAGAGUAACUGUUCAGGUAUUGACGGUAUUUAACCAGAAAGCCACGGCUAAACUACGUACCAG
Molecule: ribosomal RNA, 166 nt
Filed under: uncultured bacterium
Lineage: Bacteria
Description: partial 16S rRNA
Rfam family: Bacterial small subunit ribosomal RNA
Source: RNAcentral